RNAcentral lists this small nuclear RNA (133 nucleotides) under Catagonus wagneri (Chacoan peccary). Its description in RNAcentral is "U4 spliceosomal RNA (ENSCWAG00000000003.1)". It matches the Rfam family "U4 spliceosomal RNA". From Rfam's summary of the family: U4 small nuclear RNA (U4 snRNA) is a component of the major U2-dependent spliceosome. The structure of U4 snRNA from yeast and human has been reported. U4 snRNA presents a k-turn RNA motif in the 5p-SL related to recognition of Snu13 protein. The record is from Rfam by way of RNAcentral. Lineage: Eukaryota; Metazoa; Chordata; Mammalia; Artiodactyla; Tayassuidae.
AGCUUUGCGCAGUGGCAGUAUCGUAGCCAAUGAGGUUUAUCCGAGGUGCGAUUAUUGCUAAUUGAAAACUUUUCUGUAAAUGAAUUUAUAUAUAUAUAUAAACAUAUAUAUAAUAUAUGCCAUCCCAAAGCAG